UACGAGGGUGCAAACGUUGCUCGGAAUAUUGGGCGUAAAGCGCACGUAGGCGGCUGUUAAGUCGGGUGUGAAAGCCCUUGGCUUAACCGAGGAAGUGCAUCCGAAACUGGCGAGCUAGAGUACGAAAGAGGAUCGCGGAAUUCCCGGUGUAGAGGUGAAAUUCGUAGAUAUCGGGAGGAACACCGGUGGCGAAGGCGGCGAUCUGGGUCGAUACUGACGCUGAGGUGCGAAAGCGUGGGGAGCAAACAGG
RNAcentral lists this ribosomal RNA (250 nucleotides) under uncultured bacterium. RNAcentral describes it as "partial 16S ribosomal RNA". It matches the Rfam family "Bacterial small subunit ribosomal RNA", at positions 524 to 776 of the family's 1533-position model. The record is from RNAcentral.